UACGUAGGGGGCUAGCGUUGUCCGGAAUCAUUGGGCGUAAAGAGCGUGUAGGCGGCCCGGUAAGUCCGCUGUGAAAGUCGGGGGCUCAACCCUCGGAUGCCGGUGGAUACUGUCGGGCUCGAGUACGGAAGAGGCGAGUGGAAUUCCUGGUGUAGCGGUGAAAUGCGCAGAUAUCAGGAAGAACACCUAUGGCGAAGGCAGCACUCUGGGACGGUACUGACGCUGAGACGCGAAAGCGUGGGGAGCGAACAGG
This 253-nucleotide ribosomal RNA is filed under the name uncultured bacterium. RNAcentral describes it as "partial 16S ribosomal RNA". It matches the Rfam family "Bacterial small subunit ribosomal RNA", at positions 524 to 776 of the family's 1533-position model. The record is from RNAcentral.